GCCAAGCUCAAAAACAAUCUAAAUCAAAGGCUAGCACUGGAUCAAUUGCAGAGAUGCUCAUCAAAAUAGCCUAAAAAGGCCCGCAACCUAACUACUCAAACCCAUUACAAGAUCCAACCCAUAAGAAAAGAAAAAACCUUAGGUAGCAGAGGAAUGCCGCAACGCCGCCGCAAAAGGAUACACACCAGGCCCGCAAGAGGAUACACACCAGGCCCUACUUGCGCUGCCCACAGAGAUGCAACACCGCCACACUCACCCUCCUCUAAGAAGAGGAACCAAGAAGAUAGAAGAUAAACAGGUCUUGCAUGCACCAGCAAGUCUGUUGCAGAGGCAAGAAAAAACAACCUAGGUACCAAAACCACAAAGGUAAAGUUAUUGGUCAACAUUGAAGAACCAUGGAAGCUACCGAUCAGCACAAAAACAAGCAAGGGGCAACAUCGGCAGGACUCUUUGGCGUCCCAUUGGCACCUUCUGAGCCAACCUUCCACAUCACACCCUGCGAGCAGAACCACGAGACAAGAACUGGUUCUUGUGCCUUACAAGACCAAAGAAGCACACGACGUUCAGAGAGCUUCCAUAACCAUUACAAUCCCUCACAACCAUGUAUAUCCCCAUGAUACUAGCUGUUUCAGGUCAGUCGAAGAGAAAGCCUCACCGGUGAAGCUAUAGACCUGCAAAAGACAACCCAAAACACUAUAUACAAGCCGCAAGUCGACAACGAGAAAGGGACAAGCCCUAGAACAAGGAAAAAAAAGGAGAGAUGAAGAAGAAGAGAGAGCGCAU
Molecule: unclassified non-coding RNA, 783 nt
Filed under: Hevea brasiliensis (rubber tree)
Lineage: Eukaryota; Viridiplantae; Streptophyta; Magnoliopsida; Malpighiales; Euphorbiaceae
Source: RNAcentral